GUUAACAGACCGAUCUUCCCCAAUAGCUCACAUUGAUGGGAAGGUUUGGCAACUCAAUGUACUCUUUGCCACUUGGGACUAUAGUAUGUUCUAAGGGUUGGUCUAUUCGCCUAUUAAAACGAUAGGUGAGUGGGUUCAUGAGACGGUUUUA
This 151-nucleotide non-coding RNA is filed under the name Vitis vinifera (wine grape). RNAcentral's name for it is "Bacterial large subunit ribosomal RNA". It matches the Rfam family "Bacterial large subunit ribosomal RNA", at positions 2473 to 2638 of the family's 2925-position model. The record is from Rfam by way of RNAcentral. Lineage: Eukaryota; Viridiplantae; Streptophyta; Magnoliopsida; Vitales; Vitaceae.